AUUGGUAAGAAAGUUGAGGAGAAGACCUGAGCGUUGGUCUUGCUAACAUCACUUCCUCCUUCGUAUGAGUCUUUUGUGACUGCACUUCUAAUGAAAAAAAUACCAUCAAGAUGGAUGAGGUUAUCGCGGUGAUUUUUCAGAAUGAGAUUUUCAAGAGAGAGAACCUAGCUUCGAGCUCAGCUGGCAGCAGUUCAGCUUUAGCGAUUUUUGAAGGAGCAGGUAACAGCAGACGAAGUGGUAGAAAAUCGCAACGUGGGUGGUCCAAAUUCAGGAUGAGGGAUUUGAGCAAAGAUCAGAUGUUACCGAUGCGAUGAGUUAGGGCUAUUGCAGCAAUGGCCAGUAGCAAGUCAGAAGAUGAUAUCCUGA
This 366-nucleotide long non-coding RNA is filed under the name Elaeis guineensis (African oil palm). Its description in RNAcentral is "long non-coding RNA (EGUI_LNC069735)". The record is from RNAcentral. Lineage: Eukaryota; Viridiplantae; Streptophyta; Magnoliopsida; Arecales; Arecaceae.